Molecule: ribosomal RNA, 494 nt
Filed under: uncultured bacterium
Lineage: Bacteria
Description: partial 16S ribosomal RNA
Rfam family: Bacterial small subunit ribosomal RNA
Source: RNAcentral
GACGAACGCUGGCGGCGUGCUUAACACAUGCAAGUCGAACGGAAAGGCCUGCUUUCCCUUGUGGAUUGCGGGUACUCGAGUGGCGAACGGGUGAGUAACACGUGAGUGAUCUGCCCCCAACUUGGGUAUAAGCCUGGGAAACUGGGUCUAAUUCCCGAUAGGACUGCAGGGUGGUGCCUGUGGUGGAAAACGAUUUUCUAGUGGUUGGGGAUGAGCUCGCGGCCUAUCAGCUUGUUGGUGGGGUAAUGGCCUACCAAGGCGGCGACGGGUAGCCGGCCUGGGAGGGUGGACGGCCACAUUGGGACUGGGCUAAGGCCCAGACUCCUACGGGAGGCAGCAGUGGGGAAUAUUGCACAAUGGGCGGAAGCCUGAUGCAGCGACGCCGCGUGGGGGAUGACGGCCUUCGGGUUGUAAACUCCUUUCGACCGCGAGGAAGCCACCUGGUUGGAAGGGUGGUGACGGUAGUGGUAGAAGAAGCACCGGCUAACUACGUG